UCCUGACCGCCCUGGAGACAGGGUCUUCCCUUCGGGGACAGGAUGAACAGGUGGUGCAUGGUUGUCGUCAGCUCGUGUCGUGAGAUGUUGGGUUAAGUCCCGCAACGAGCGCAACCCUUGGUUCUAGUUGCCAGCAUUCAGUUGGGCACUCUAGAGCGACUGCCGGCGACAAGUCGGAGGAAGGUGGGGAUGACGUCAAAUCAUCAUGCCCCUUAUGACCUGGGCUACACACGUGCUACAAUGGAUGGUACAAAGGGCAGCGAAGCGGCGACGCAUGAGCGAAUCCCAGAAAACCAUUCUCAGUUCGGAUUGCAGGCUGCAACUCGCCUGCAUGAAGCCGGAAUCGCUAGUAAUCGCGGAUCAGCAUGCCGCGGUGAAUACGUUCCCGGGCCUUGUACACACCGCCCGUCACACCAUCGAGAGUUUGUAACACCCGAAGUCGGUGAGGUAACCGUAAGGAGCCAGCCGCCGAAGGUGGGACAGAUGAUUGGGGUGAAGUCGUAACAA
RNAcentral lists this ribosomal RNA (507 nucleotides) under uncultured bacterium. RNAcentral's name for it is "bacterial SSU rRNA". It matches the Rfam family "Bacterial small subunit ribosomal RNA", at positions 989 to 1494 of the family's 1533-position model. The record is from RNAcentral.